UUGAGGUGGCAGGUGGAAGUAGUGACAACCAGGCGGAGAGUAAUAACCAGGCGGAGAGUAACAACCGAGCGGAGAGUAACAACCGAGCUGAGAGUAACAACCGAGCUGAGAGUAACAACCAGACGAAGAACAGUUCCAAGAGCUACUGCGUACAGGACUAUUUAAACUUUUUAAAGAACAACACGCUUGACAAUCCUUACGAAUUAAAAAACGUUUCUUACAAAGUAAUGAGCGACUUGAGUUCGUUUAAUAUGUUUUCUUAUUUGAGAAAACAUAGCAAUAGUGUCAUAAUUGCUUUACAACGAAUUUUCAUUUGUAUGCAAAUGUAUUCACUAGUUGUGUGUGCGAAACAAGGAAAAGAAUUUUUCAAAAAAAAUGACACUAAUACUAUAAACGAUAUGUUUCAUAAAGAAAGAGGUAAGUUGGAUAUGGUUGGUUCGGAUGAUAAGAUAUGUAGUUACUGUUCAUGUAGUAACCAUAGUUGUAACAGUAUGAAUGAACUAAUGACUGAGACUAGUACUACAACGGUAAAAUCGAAUAAAGUGACAUACAACAGUUCUAACAGUAAUAACGAAAUUGAAAAUUAUAAAGAUAUGAUAGGUAAUAAUAACCAACAAAUGUGUACUUGUCAUGGAUACAUACAAACUAAAAUGAAUGUUAACACAAAUGAUACUAAUAACUUUAUUAAUAUAAACUCGAUCAAAGUUUUGGAAGAGAACAAAGAAGGUUUAUGUUUAGAUAGUCUUUCGAAAAACAAUGAACAAUGUGAACGUGUAUAUAAACAUUUAAAGAACUUAACCCCCAAUCAAAGAAAUUGUUUAUAUUAUUAUAAAAACACAUUGUUUUAUCCUGAUAGUCAAUCGGAGUAUGAAAAUAGAAUGGGGUGUGAUUUGGGUAUGUGCGGAAAGUGUAGUAAAUCAUGCGACGGUAGUAGUGUAGUUGACAAAAGUUGCAAUGGUGAUACUGUCACUACUGCUCCUGUCACUACCACCACUACUACACCUACCACUACUACACCUACUACUACACCUACUACUACUACUACUACUACACCUACUACUACACCUACUACUACUACUACACCCACCACUACUGCACCUGCCAUUACUGCUCCUACCACUUCAACCACUUCACACAACACCUGCUUCCAUAACAAAGACAACCACACAACGAACAAAAAAUACAACAUUCUAAAUACGUACAACAAAAACGAUAACUAUACCCAUUUUUUUCAGCCAAUGUUACCAAAUUUAAAAAUUCUGUUAAUCAGUCUAAAUAGAAUAAUGUUUAAUCAGUAUAAAUGCAAUGAACCGUUCAUAAAGAUAUAUGAACUAUUAUUUAAAUAUCUUUUGUAUGAGAUUAUAAAUGAAAAAGCUACAAUAUUUAAAAAAAUAAAAAAUUUGAGAAAGGUAGUCAGUGGUAGCGAUACUGUGCAAAAUAAUGUAAAAGAUAAUGUAAAAGAUAAUGUAAAAAAUAAUGUAAAAGAUA
This 1488-nucleotide long non-coding RNA is filed under the name Piliocolobus tephrosceles (Ugandan red Colobus). RNAcentral describes it as "lncRNA (ENSPTEG00000017476.1)". The record is from RNAcentral. Lineage: Eukaryota; Metazoa; Chordata; Mammalia; Primates; Cercopithecidae.